This 96-nucleotide small nucleolar RNA is filed under the name Mustela putorius furo (domestic ferret). RNAcentral describes it as "Small nucleolar RNA SNORA25 (ENSMPUG00000022634.1)". The record is from RNAcentral. Lineage: Eukaryota; Metazoa; Chordata; Mammalia; Carnivora; Mustelidae.
GAGUCAUUUCAAAGAGGACUUAGGGAGCUGUGAAACCAGGAAUUUUAGAGGCAGUGACCAAAGGUUGGAGUACCGUAGGACCCUAUGGUCACCCAG